UAGGGAAUCUUCCGCAAUGGACGCAAGUCUGACGGAGCAACGCCGCGUGAGUGAAGAAGGAUUUCGGUUCGUAAAACUCUGUUGUUAGAGAAGAACAGCGCAUAGAGUAACUGUUAUGCGUGUGACGGUAUCUAACCAGAAAGCCACGGCUAACUACGUGCCAGCAGCCGCGGUAAUACGUAGGUGGCAAGCGUUGUCCGGAUUUAUUGGGCGUAAAGCGAGCGCAGGCGCUCAAUUAAGUCUGAUGUGAAAGCCCCCGGCUCAACCGGGGAGGGUCAUUGGAAACUGGUUGACUUGAGUGCAGAAGAGGAGAGUGGAAUUCCAUGUGUAGCGGUGAAAUGCGUAGAUAUAUGGAGGAACACCAGUGGCGAAGGCGACUCUCUGGUCUGUAACUGACGCUGAGGCUCGAAAGCGUGGGUAGCAAACAGG
Molecule: ribosomal RNA, 429 nt
Filed under: Bacteroidota bacterium
Lineage: Bacteria; Pseudomonadati; Bacteroidota
Description: Bacteroidetes bacterium partial 16S ribosomal RNA
Rfam family: Bacterial small subunit ribosomal RNA
Source: RNAcentral